Molecule: RNA transcript, 4177 nt
Organism: Haemorhous mexicanus (house finch)
Lineage: Eukaryota; Metazoa; Chordata; Aves; Passeriformes; Fringillidae
Exons: 7
Source: RefSeq, a predicted model, not a curated record
GUACCGGAGUCCUUCCAAGCCACGCACUUUGGCAGCUUCGUGCAGCAGCUCAACCUCUAUGGCUUCCAAAAGGUGCCGGGCUGGGUUGGCUCAGAUGAGCCGGCCGAUACCGGGGGCUGGCUCCACUUCAGGAACCCCAACUUUCGGCGCGACCGCCCCGACCUCCUGCUCCGCAUCAAGCGCCUGACCAGGGCCAACAGGCAGCGGCUGGCGGCGGGGCUGGAGGUGCGCAGCCGCCAGCCCAGCCGCUUCCAGCAGCUCCACACGGAGCGAACAGCGCUCUCCUUCCCCAUCGGGCAGCUCCCCAGAGCCGAAGUGCCCUUGCUGCCAAGGGAAGCCCACCCAAAGACCAAUGGAGACCCAGCCUUCCCUUUGCUUCCUUUCUUCUGCACUCAAUACUGCACAGCUCCCUCAUGUGAGAAGCUCACCUGCCUCACCUGAGUGUUUAAAGCUGCCUCCAGGCCCUUCCAGGCGAAGUGUAGGUGCUCAGGAUUCAGAGACUUCUCCAGUACCUCCCAAGAAUGUCUUUGUCACCUCCAGACUUCUUGGGGUUUCACCAGUCGAGCCAUCAAGGGAACUCAUCCGGAAAGCUAAUCUCUGCAAGGUCACCAUUCCUCUGGUUCACAUGGACCUCAAACGCCACCCUGAGCUCAUGGUUCGCCUGACUCACAUCGACCCUGAGGCCACCUGCAGGGCCCUUCAAGAGAGCAGCAGCUGCGCAGCUGCAGAGCAGCACACCCCAGCCAACAAUCCAUCAGGCAGGGAAAGAAUUUCUACCCUUCCUUUUCAAACAGGUCCUUGAAAUUGACUCUUUGAAGUCUGGGGAGAUAGGAAAGGCUGUGAUCAUGAAGUCUUCGCAUCCCUUUGGAGCAGAGGGGAAAGCACCUGGCAGUUGGGUUUCUGGUGGUUGCCUCCUGCUACGGAGGACCAGUGGGACAGUUUUCUCUGUGUGCUCUCAUGGAUAGAUCUCAAGUGAGAAUCAGGUAGAAAGUGUCAAGUCAGCUCGGAAGGAGGACCUUGAAAACAUAAAGAUUCUCUGCCUGCUUUUCCUCUCCUUGCUGAAGAUUUGGAGGGUGUUCUGGGCAUUUUCCAGACAGCCUCUCUGUAAUGGUACAAGGGUAAGGUGAAAGAUACUGCCUAACAAGUGGUCAGUGUUAGGUGUACUCUCCCCUUUCUUUGAAGGAAGCCAAACUAGGAUGGUGAUAGGAUAUUGCAGAUGUUUAAGACUGUCUGCCCUGCAAAUCAAGCCGUGCCAUUGAAAUGAGCCCUGUGUGCCCCACAACAGCUGCAGCUGCAGAAUACAGCCGCACCCACAAGCUCCCUCACACCAGAACCUUGCUGCUGCCUCACCUGAGGAUUCAGAGCUGCCUCCAGGCCCUUCCAGGACAAGUCCAGGUCCUCAAGAGCAUGAGGCUUCCCCAGCACCUCCCAAGAAAGUGUCUGCCACCUCCGGACCUCUUGGGGUUUCAUCAGCCAGGCACACAGAGAUUUCAACUCCAGUCUGAGCUCAUAAUUCCACCAGUUCCUGUGGACCAGCAAAACACUUCUGUGGCCUCUACAGAGAUCAGUAGCUGCACAUCUCCAGAGCAGCACUUGCCAGCCUACAGCCCAUCAGCCACCCCAGACAUUUCAGCCCCCAGCACUCCAGCUGGCAGCACAGGUUUUGCAGCAUGGACAGCCCCCAGCUGGCUGUGGAAUAGUCCUGGGAAAGAGGAAUUGCUGCUGCCAGAUCUUGAUAUGGUGCUUGAGACGCUGGAGGAGAUGUUUGCUCCCUCUGCUCAGGGGAAUAGUCAUGUUGCCCCUGAGUCUUCAGGAGGGGAGCCUGUGGACAGAGCUGCAGCAGAGGGAGCUUUGCCAGGCACCAAGAGCUGUGGGAACUAUUCCCAGGAGCCCAAGGAGUUCGGUAAGGACAUGAGCCCAUACUGGUUUAGAGAGGUGUGAGAUGGCUGCUCUGAGCCUGCCUCUGGCAGGAAGGGAGAUGAGAAGAGUUGAGUUCCUGUCUGCGGGCUCGGUGCUUCCUGGUGCCUUUAGUUCAAAUCCUGCACUGGCACACCCUGCCUGAGCCCUGCCCUCCACGCUUCUCCAGAGGCUGUGACACUGAGUCCUCUGCUGUAGCAAGAGAGCAGGGAAUAAACCUGACCUUGUGGGACUUGUGUCAGCAAGCCCAGUGUCCCAGCUUUGUGCUGAUGUCCAUGGAUAAGUUUGCUGCAGGGUGUCAGUGCUCUGGAGGCAACACUGAGUGACUCUUGAAGCAAGAGAGGGAAAGCCCAGAAAAAAGUCAGUGUAGAAGUCCAAGCUUUUUGUCUCCAAGCAUUAAAUCAAUGUAGUUCCAGUCUACAGAUAGGUGUAGUGAGAUAGAUAAAAAAUACAAGCAGCAGAAGCUCUGAGGCCAAUGAAAUCAUUAAUCACAAAUCCAGUAGUUCAAGGAAAAACUGAAAUUACCCCAAAUUAGUGAGAAAAAAAAAGAAGAGAGAGAGCACUUUGGAUCUGCAUUCUUGAGCAAAGCUGGUGCAGCCUGCAGGCCUGCUAGGGAGCUCUUUCCCUCCCUGCUGUUCAUCCCAGAGCUGGUGGUUGUUUUGGAGGAGCUGUUGCUCACUGCAGAGGGCAGGCUGUAGAUGGCAGGGAACGGUGCUAGUUCAUAUUUCAGCUCCCAGCACCUUCAGCUUCUGCCAUUUCAGUGAGGACUGAGGUCUCUCUGUCAGCACAGAGAAAGAACAAGGCUGGGCUUCUUUGUGGCACCUGGGACUGUCCGUGCUUCAAGCUCUCGUGGGGGCCCUUUGCACUGUGAGUGCUGUGAGUUUAUUGGGAUACUUCAAAACUUCAGAUGUUUUGAACACUUGGAAGGAUCCCUGUUCUUUAAAGAGCAGGUCUGAAAUUGUCAAGUAAGAGUUUGCCUUUCAGGCCAUUUUUUCAGUCUUUGAUAGAAGGACAGUUACUUGAAAAAGGGAGAGAUGCACAGAUGUCCCUGGAGCGGUGGGAGCUGCUGCUGGCCCCAGGCACUGUCCCCUGAGGAGCUGCUGAAGGACGCUGCAAUGAAGACCUUGAGGACAGCCGGAGACCGACGGGAGCCAGCAGGGAGAAGCUGAAGGCCAGCAGCAGGAGCAGGGAACGGGGACCUGCUGCUGCCAGCCUGGAGAGAGCUCGGAUGUCCCAUCUGCUGUCCCUGUCCAGGAGAGCUGCUCUGCACGGGAGGCGGAGACCGAGGGAGAGGCUUUGAAGGUGGGGCAGCUGGGAUCCCUCUGCUUGGAGUUCUGUGGAUUUGCACAUAGGCAGUGCUAAUUACAUCAAUCUGUACAUAUCUUGCUACUUGUAUUGAUACUUACUAUAUUUCUAUAAAUACAAUACUUGUAUUUAUAAAUGUACUGUGUAUAUAUGUACCUAUAUAUACAUAAAGGUUUGCAGUUACAUAUUUGUGUGUAUAUGUAUCUAGUUCUUUAUGUAUGUUGAAAUCUCUGUGUUUUGAUUUCCAUAUGUAUACAGUUGUGUAGGUAUCUAUUUGUACUGAUGUAGUUUUUGGUACAUGUCUUUUUAAAGGGGAAAUUGCUAUUUGUAUCAGUAUAUAUGUCUAUUUUUAUAUGUAUAUUGACCUUUUAAUAUAUGUAAUUAUAUUUACAUGUGUAUUGAGAUGUAUAGCUGUAUAUUUGUAUUGAUAUUUAGCUUGGCACAGUGAUACUUUUAUAUUUUAGAUAGGUUUGUGUUAUAUAUCUGUUUAUAUAUAUUGCAUGUAAUAUGUAAUAUUUAAUCUAUGUUUGCAUCUGUAGAUUGUUAUAUAUGUAUUUAUAUACAUUUGUGUCUAUAUAUGUUUUUAUUUAUGUGUCAACAUGUAUGGAGUGGUAUAGUUGUAUAAUUCUAUUGAUUCUAUAUAUAAUUCUCUGAGUUCUUGGUACAGGGCUGUUUAGAGAGGGAAUGCAGAUUUUUGUAUUUCUGUAUGGGCUGUACACUUGUAGUAAUAUGUAAUAACUUGUUAAACACCUAAUUGAUCUUUGUGUAUAGUGAGUUGUUGUAGAGGCUGGCAAUAUUUUUUUUUUUUAACUGAAGUUGUAUUUUUAUAUUUUUAACUAGACUGGUAGUAAUAAUCUAAUAAAUUUCUGGUUUUUAUCUAAAUUGAGAUUUGUAUAGUUCUGUAUUGUCAGUGCAGGUGUAGCAAUUUGUAAUAAAUGUCAUUUUUCAACUGAAA